CAGUAGCCACGGUAAUACGUAGGUGGCAAGCGUUGUCCGGAAUUAUUGGGCGUAAAGGGCUCGCAGGCGGUUUCUUAAGUCUGAUGUGAAAGCCCCCGGCUCAACCGGGGAGGGUCAUUGGAAACUGGGAAACUUGAGUGCAGAAGAGGAGAGUGGAAUUCCACGUGUAGCGGUGAAAUGCGUAGAGAUGUGGAGGAACACCAGUGGCGAAGGCGACUCUCUUGUCUGUAGCUGACGCUGAGGAGCGAAAGCGUGGGGAGCGAAUAGGAUUAGAUACCCCUGUAGUCCCUGUCUCUUAUAC
Molecule: ribosomal RNA, 301 nt
Filed under: uncultured bacterium
Lineage: Bacteria
Description: partial 16S ribosomal RNA
Rfam family: Bacterial small subunit ribosomal RNA
Source: RNAcentral